This is a long non-coding RNA of Calidris pugnax (ruff), 515 nucleotides long. RefSeq lists it as uncharacterized. Lineage: Eukaryota; Metazoa; Chordata; Aves; Charadriiformes; Scolopacidae. The transcript is spliced from 3 exons. The record is from RefSeq and is a predicted model, not a curated record.
UAAAACAGCCUGAUGAAAAGGAAGCAUUUUUAUCUAUCAUUUUGUUAAACAAAAUACCCACAGAUUAUAACACAUCUGUUUUGUUGAAAAUGCAGGUGAAGGACAAGAGGUGAUUUACUUUGGUGAAGUCAAAGGGGAACUGUGACUUCCUGCAGCAGGAAACCACCUUCUGCAGAAAGAAGUUUCCAGGGGUAGAAACACAAUCUGACUGUCAGCAGCCUGCCGGUAAAACAUCAACUGGAGCAGUAACAACCAGCCAAAGACAUUCUUGAGCUAAGAAGAAACACAUAAUUUUUCCAUCAAAGUCUAGAAGAGACGAAAAUUUCAGGGUUCUUUAUUCAUACAGCUACAACCUCAGGAGAGCUCCCUGAUCUCCCCUCCUCCCUUUCCCUCUUCUGCCAAGUGUGCAGACACAGAAAGCGAUGCCAGGCUGAUACGGUAGGUUUGAUUCUGCUCUCAUGGGCAGUGAUGAUGUGUCAGGAGGAAUGCUGCGAGGGUCUGAAAGCCUGCACCAG